GAUGAACGCUGGCGGCGUGCCUAAUACAUGCAAGUCGAGCGACCGGACGAGAAGCUUGCUUCCCUGAUGUUAACGGCUGACGGGGUAGUCAUACGUGGAUAACCUACCUAUAAAACUGGGAUAACUUCGGGAAACCGCAUCUAAUACCGGAUAAUAUUUUGAACCGCAUGGUUCAAAAGUGAAAGACGGUCUUGCUGUCUCUUAUAGAUGGAUCCGCGCUGCAUGAACAAGUUGGUAAGGUAACGGCUUACCAAGGCAACGAUGCAUAGCCGACCUGAGAGGGUGAACGGACACACUGUAUCUGAGACACGGUCCAGACUCCGACGGGAGGCAGCAGUAGGGAAUCUUCCGCAAUGGGCGAGUGCCUGAUGGAGCAACGUCGCGUGAGUGAUGAAGGACUUAUGAUCGGAAAGCUAUGUUAGUAUGGAAGUAGAUAAGUUUAAGUACCUGUGAACAUCUUGACGGUACCUAAAGAGAAAGCCACGGCUAACUACGUG
This 497-nucleotide ribosomal RNA is filed under the name uncultured bacterium. Its description in RNAcentral is "partial 16S ribosomal RNA". It matches the Rfam family "Bacterial small subunit ribosomal RNA", at positions 28 to 507 of the family's 1533-position model. The record is from RNAcentral.